Molecule: ribosomal RNA, 160 nt
Filed under: Acinetobacter baumannii
Lineage: Bacteria; Pseudomonadati; Pseudomonadota; Gammaproteobacteria; Moraxellales; Moraxellaceae
Description: partial 23S ribosomal RNA
Rfam family: Bacterial large subunit ribosomal RNA
Source: RNAcentral
CUGAAAGCAUCUAAGCGGGAAGCCUACCUCAAGAUAAGAUUUCCCUAGGACUUUAUGUCCUCUAAAGAGCCGUUCGAGACUAGGACGUUGAUAGGUUGGAUGUGGAAGCAUAGUGAUAUGUGAAGCUGACCAAUACUAAUUGCUCGUGAGGCUUGACUAU